RNAcentral lists this ribosomal RNA (608 nucleotides) under uncultured fungus. RNAcentral describes it as "eukaryotic LSU rRNA". The stretch from base 221 to 374 matches the Rfam family "5.8S ribosomal RNA". Lineage: Eukaryota; Fungi. The record is from RNAcentral.
UCUUGGUCAUUUAGAGGAAGUAAAAGUCGUAACAAGGUCUCCGUUGGUGAACCAGCGGAGGGAUCAUUACCGAGUUAUACAACUCAUCAACCCUGUGAACAUACCUAUAACGUUGCCUCGGCGGGAACAGACGGCCCCGUAACACGGGCCGCCCCCGCCAGAGGACCCCCUAACUCUGUUUCUAUAAUGUUUCUUCUGAGUAAACAAGCAAAUAAAUUAAAACUUUCAACAACGGAUCUCUUGGCUCUGGCAUCGAUGAAGAACGCAGCGAAAUGCGAUAAGUAAUGUGAAUUGCAGUAUUCAGUGAAUCAUCGAAUCUUUGAACGCACAUUGCGCCCGCCAGUAUUCUGGCGGGCAUGCCUGUUCGAGCGUCAUUACAACCCUCAGGCCCCCGGGCCUGGCGUUGGGGAUCGGCGGAAGCCCCCUGCGGGCACAACGCCGUCCCCCAAAUACAGUGGCGGUCCCGCCGCAGCUUCCAUUGCGUAGUAGCUAACACCUCGCAACUGGAGAGCGGCGCGGCCACGCCGUAAAACACCCAACUUCUGAAUGUUGACCUCGAAUCAGGUAGGAAUACCCGCUGAACUUAAGCAUAUCAAUAAGCGGAGGAA